Molecule: transfer RNA, 72 nt
Organism: Paramecium tetraurelia
Lineage: Eukaryota; Ciliophora; Oligohymenophorea; Peniculida; Parameciidae
Rfam family: tRNA
About the family: Transfer RNA (tRNA) molecules are approximately 80 nucleotides in length. Their secondary structure includes four short double-helical elements and three loops (D, anti-codon, and T loops).
Source: Rfam
UCCGGUAUAGUCUAGUGGUUAGGAUAUCAGGUUCUCACCCUGGGGACCCGGGUUCAAUCCCCGGUAUCGGAA